UAGCUCAGUUGGUAGAGCAGUUGACUUUUAAUCAAUUGGUCGCAGGUUCGAAUCCUGCACGACCCACCAAUCGUUCUGGUGGAACGCGAUAGUAAAACGUGAAGGAUAACGUUGCGUCAGCAACGGCCCGUAGGGCUAGGCAAAGCCGAGUCAUCCUGCACGACCCACCG
Molecule: small RNA, 170 nt
Filed under: Klebsiella pneumoniae
Lineage: Bacteria; Pseudomonadati; Pseudomonadota; Gammaproteobacteria; Enterobacterales; Enterobacteriaceae
Description: RtT sRNA
Rfam family: tRNA (bases 1-66)
Source: RNAcentral